GUGCUCGCUUCGGCAGCACAUAUACUAAAAUUGGAACGAUACAGAGAAGAUUAGCAUGGCCCCUGCGCAAGGAUGAGCAAAAGGCAAGGGAAGCAAGGGAAAAAAUG
This is a small nuclear RNA of Mustela lutreola (European mink), 107 nucleotides long. NCBI's taxonomy places the organism in Eukaryota, Metazoa, Chordata, Mammalia, Carnivora, Mustelidae. The record is from RefSeq and is a predicted model, not a curated record.